GCCUCUAUAGUGUAGUGGUUAUCGCGUCGCACUUGUAAUGCGAAGGUCGCUAGUUCAAUUCUGGCUGGAGGCA
This 73-nucleotide transfer RNA is filed under the name Exophiala oligosperma. RNAcentral's name for it is "tRNA-Thr (TGT) (tRNA-Thr-TGT-1-1)". It matches the Rfam family "tRNA". From Rfam's summary of the family: Transfer RNA (tRNA) molecules are approximately 80 nucleotides in length. Lineage: Eukaryota; Fungi; Ascomycota; Eurotiomycetes; Chaetothyriales; Herpotrichiellaceae. The record is from RNAcentral.